Molecule: ribosomal RNA, 301 nt
Filed under: uncultured bacterium
Lineage: Bacteria
Description: partial 16S ribosomal RNA
Rfam family: Bacterial small subunit ribosomal RNA
Source: RNAcentral
CAGUAGCCGCGGUAAGACGAACCGUGCGAACGUUAUUCGGAAUCACUGGGCUUAAAGCGCGUGUAGGCGGGAGGGCACGUCUGUCGCUGAAAUCCCCCGGCUCAACCGGGGAACUGGCGCGGAUACGACUCUUCUGGAAGAGCGUAGGGGGACCUGGAACUUCCGGUGGAGCGGUGAAAUGCGUUGAGAUCGGAAGGAACGCCCGUGGCGAAAGCGAGGUCCUGGACGCUUUCUGACGCUGAGACGCGAAAGCCAGGGGAGCGAACGGGAUUAGAUACCCCCGUAGUCCCUGUCUCUUAUA